CCUACGUGAGGCAGCAGUGGGGAAUAUUGCACAAUGGGGGAAACCCUGAUGCAGCGACGCCGCGUGAGUGAAGAAGUAAUUCGUUACGUAAAGCUCUAUCAGCAGGGAAGAAACACUGACCUUACGGUCAGCAGACGGUACCUGAGUAAGAAGCCCCGGCUAACUACGUGCCAGCAGCCGCGGUAAUACGUAGGGGGCAAGCGUUAUCCGGAUUUACUGGGUGUAAAGGGAGCGUAGACGGCAGCACAAGUCUGGAGUGAAAUCCCGGGGCUUAACCCCGGAACUGCUUUGGAAACUGUGCGGCUGGAGUGCAGGAGAGGUAAGCGGAAUGCCUAGUGUAGCGGUGAAAUGCGUAGAUAUUAGGAGGAACACCGGUGGCGAAGGCGGCUUACUGGACUGUAACUGACGUUGAGGCUCGAAAGCGUGGGGAGCAAACAGGAUUAGAUACCCUAGUAGUC
Molecule: ribosomal RNA, 458 nt
Filed under: uncultured bacterium
Lineage: Bacteria
Description: partial 16S ribosomal RNA
Rfam family: Bacterial small subunit ribosomal RNA
Source: RNAcentral